RNAcentral lists this ribosomal RNA (106 nucleotides) under Orsonwelles macbeth. RNAcentral describes it as "partial 28S ribosomal RNA". The record is from RNAcentral. Lineage: Eukaryota; Metazoa; Arthropoda; Arachnida; Araneae; Linyphiidae.
CCGACCCUCAKACAGGCGAGGCCCCGGGCAGGACCCGAGGCCGCAAUGUGCGUUCGAAAAAUCAGUGCUCAAUGUGUCCUGCAAUUCACACCAAAUCUCGCAGCUG